This 497-nucleotide ribosomal RNA is filed under the name uncultured bacterium. Its description in RNAcentral is "partial 16S ribosomal RNA". It matches the Rfam family "Bacterial small subunit ribosomal RNA", at positions 28 to 507 of the family's 1533-position model. The record is from RNAcentral.
GAUGAACGCUGGCGGCGUGCCUAAUACAUGCAAGUCGAGCGAACAGAUAAGGAGCUUGCUCCUUUGACGUUAGCGGCGGACGGGUGUGUAACACGUGGGUAACCUACCUAUCAGACUGGGAUCACUUCGGGAAACCGGCGCUAAUCCCGGAUAAUCUUUCGAACCGCAUGGUUCGUUAGUGAAAGAUGGUUUUGCUAUCACUUAUAGGUGGACCCGCGCGGUAUUAGCUAGUUGGUAGGGUAACGGCUUACCAAGGCGACGAUUCGUAGCCGACCUGAGAGGGUGAUCGGCCACACUGGAGCUGGGACACGGUCCAGAGUCCUACGGGAGGCAGCAGUAGGGAAUCGGACGCAGUGGGCGAGAGCAUGGCGGAGCAACGCCGCGUGAGUGAUGAAGGUCUUCGGAUCGUAAAACUGUGUUAUGAGGGAAGAACAGACGUGUAAGGAAAUGUGCACGUCUUGACGGUACCUGAUCAGAAAGCCACGGCUAACUACGUG